GUGUGAAUGCCACCAUGAUAUCUGACUGCAGAUAUCAAAUUCUGCAAGAACCAUCCUGUCCUGGCAUUUCCUUCAGAUAAUUUAAGCAGCCCAGAAUGUGAUGUUGGUGUUUCCUCCCAUGCUCCCAUGCUGCUACUCACACAAGG
This is a long non-coding RNA of Suricata suricatta (meerkat), 146 nucleotides long. RefSeq lists it as uncharacterized. The record is from RefSeq and is a predicted model, not a curated record. The transcript has 3 exons. Lineage: Eukaryota; Metazoa; Chordata; Mammalia; Carnivora; Herpestidae.